AACGAACGCUGGCGGCAGGCUUAACACAUGCAAGUCGAACGCGUGUAGCAAUACACGAGUGGCGCACGGGUGAGUAACACGUGGAUUAUCUGCCUCUUGGUUCGGAAUAACCACGGGAAACUGGGGCUAAUACCGAAUGGUUCCUACGGGAUAAAGAUUUAUCGCCAAGAGAUGAGUCCGCGUCCGAUUAGCUAGUUGGUGGGGUAAUGGCCUACCAAGGCGACGAUCGGUAGCUGGUCUGAGAGGACGAUCAGCCACACUGGGACUGAGACACGGCCCAGACUCCUACGGGAGGCAGC
RNAcentral lists this ribosomal RNA (299 nucleotides) under uncultured Alphaproteobacteria bacterium. Its description in RNAcentral is "partial 16S ribosomal RNA". It matches the Rfam family "Bacterial small subunit ribosomal RNA", at positions 29 to 352 of the family's 1533-position model. Lineage: Bacteria; Pseudomonadati; Pseudomonadota; Alphaproteobacteria. The record is from RNAcentral.